CAGCAGCCGCGGUAAAACGUAGGUGGCAAGCGUUGUCCGGAAUUAUUGGGCGUAAAGGGCUCGCAGGCGGUUUCUUAAGUCUGAUGUGAAAGCCCCCGGCUCAACCGGGGAGGGUCAUUGGAAACUGGGAAACUUGAGUGCAGAAGAGGAGAGUGGAAUUCCACGUGUAGCGGUGAAAUGCGUAGAGAUGUGGAGGAACACCAGUGGCGAAGGCGACUCUCUGGUCUGUAACUGACGCUGAGGAGCGAAAGCGUGGGGAGCGAACAGGAUUAGAUACCCGAGUAGUCCCUGUCUCUUAUAC
This 301-nucleotide ribosomal RNA is filed under the name uncultured bacterium. RNAcentral's name for it is "partial 16S ribosomal RNA". It matches the Rfam family "Bacterial small subunit ribosomal RNA", at positions 509 to 807 of the family's 1533-position model. The record is from RNAcentral.